RNAcentral lists this ribosomal RNA (512 nucleotides) under uncultured bacterium. Its description in RNAcentral is "partial 16S ribosomal RNA". It matches the Rfam family "Bacterial small subunit ribosomal RNA", at positions 28 to 523 of the family's 1533-position model. The record is from RNAcentral.
GACGAACGCUGGCGGCGUGCCUAAUACAUGCAAGUCGAGCGAAUCACUGGGAGCUUGCUCCCGGUGGUUAGCGGCGGACGGGUGAGUAACACGUGGGCAACCUGCCUGUAAGACUGGGAUAACACCGGGAAACCGGUGCUAAUACCGGAUAAUUCUUUUCUGCACAUGCAGGAAAGCUGAAAGUCGGUUUCGGCUGACACUUACAGAUGGGCCCGCGGCGCAUUAGCUAGUUGGUGAGGUAACGGCUCACCAAGGCGACGAUGCGUAGCCGACCUGAGAGGGUGAUCGGCCACACUGGGACUGAGACACGGCCCAGACUCCUACGGGAGGCAGCAGUAGGGAAUCUUCCACAAUGGACGAAAGUCUGAUGGAGCAACGCCGCGUGAGCGAUGAAGGCCUUCGGGUCGUAAAGCUCUGUUGUUAGGGAAGAACAAAUACCGGAGUAACUGCCGGUACCUUGACGGUACCUAACCAGAAAGCCACGGCUAACUACGUGCCAGCAGCCGCAGUAA